GGGCUCGUAGCUCAGCUUGGCUAGAGCGUCUGACUUUUAAUCAGAAGGUCGUGGGUUCGAAUCCCACCGAGCCCG
RNAcentral lists this transfer RNA (75 nucleotides) under Microcaldota archaeon. Its description in RNAcentral is "Candidatus Micrarchaeota archaeon (hot springs metagenome) tRNA-Lys". It matches the Rfam family "tRNA". Rfam says of the family: Transfer RNA (tRNA) molecules are approximately 80 nucleotides in length. Their secondary structure includes four short double-helical elements and three loops (D, anti-codon, and T loops). The record is from RNAcentral. Lineage: Archaea; Nanobdellati; Microcaldota.